CAGCGCCGCGCCUGCUUUUCCCACGCAGGAGGUGGGCUCUUUAAUGUGUGCCACACAACUCCAGAGGGUAAACUUUAAGAAGAGUUGGUGACCUGGAAAGGGAUUGCAAGGAGUUGACUGAAAAUCACCAUCCAUAUUGUGAGAUCUGACAAGAGGAGAGAUAUUCUUGGAAAGGUGCUCUCCUUCCACAAAAAGGAAACAGAGGGCCAAGUCUUCUGAUUCCCAUCUGUCUGCCUUGGAAGAGUCCAUGUCUCUGGGAAGAAGGCUGCACUCAUAUUCUGGGCCUGAAACUGGGUCAUUUUUAACUGAAAUGCAACAGGAACUCAAGAAACAAGACCAUGAAACCAUGGAAUUGGAAGGUAAAUUCCUAUAUGCUGAAACUGAAUUUUGAGAUAAGCCUGGUUUCAAGAGGAACUUGAAGCUGGAAUAGUUAGAGCAAAGGAGAAAAGCACAGAAACUUGGAGAAAGAUGAGCUGUAUGCUAGUGGGGGAAAAGAGCUUGCCCAGAGCUUGCAGUAGUAACAAAAUAUGGAGGAUGCUGUGAAGGAGAUGGGAUAGCCUCUGACCGCUUACACUGAUGAUGCAGAUCUGCGUUGGAUGCUGAGAGAACAAGAAAGAAAGCUGCACCCCAUGGCCAACCAUUUACUUAUUUACAAAAGAACAAUAAUAAAUGCAUCACAUAUUAACAAAAAUAUCAUAUAGUUAUAAAAUAAUACUUUAUUAAAAUAUCUCAUGAUAAGAUUAGUAACAUUUUUGUAAAGUAUUUCAAUAAGUGGCUUAAUGGAACACAACUGGCAUCUCAUAAAGUGGCUACAUUGAGUUGCAUAGGACAUGUUUGACGUGUAUGGAGAGAGUCUGGUUUCUCAUAGAUAUAUAGUUGGAAAGUACCUAGUAUUUUAAUAGAUUUUCCAGAAAACUGUUUUUCUCUGAUACAGCACUAAAAUUCAACAACUAGUCUUUAAAACAUCAUCUGCAAAUGUGGAAUCUUAAACCUCACCAAGAAGUUUUGAUAUUUUGUUGCCUUAAAAUCUCUUGUCCAUUUCGUACUUUGAAUGGAUUAAUUGCCUAGUCAUGCUUUGGUAAGAUCAUGCACUGGUCAUUUGGCAAACAUAGUUCAUUGACCAAUACAAAUCCUUCAAAUGUUGACACAUUUUAUCAAAUAAUAUAAAACGUAUUAAUUAGCAUCAUCACUGAUCUCAAGAGAAAAAUCUUUAUUGGUAAGCUGCCAAGCCUGAAGUAGCAGAUACAGUUUUUCCAAAUUUCAGUUUUUGUUUUUCGUUUUAUUUUUUCUUAAAAUGUUAAACUUUGUUCAUUUCCCAAAAUGUGUCCCCUAAUUACUAAAAUCAACUUAGCCAUAGGUUGCAAGUAUUCUUUCAAGUAAAGAUGAUGUUUCAUGUAAGAAUGUGGGUGGUUUCACACCGUUGGAACAAUUGCACACGUGCUUUUUCUUGGACAAGUGUGGCUCUUUGGUGUAUGGCCUGAGUGUUCUGUGGCCCUUCCAUUUUAAACAUAGACCCAAAAGCUGACAUGUCUUCAGAGUCAAGAUACAAUACAAUUAAGAAUUUUAAACAACAACAACAAAUGAAUUCUACAGUGUCAACAAGGCCAUAAGUAAAGUUGGAAUUUUUUUUUUAAGUGCAUGACAGUGAAGAAUGUAGUAGUUACUGUAACAGGGUGGUCCCCAGGAAGAGGGGACCAGGUUCUCCAGGUUCUCUGCCCAACCCAAGGGAGGGUGGAGCUGAGCAGGAUGAAGGAGAAGCUGGAGAGGAGACCAGAGGAAGGAAAGAAAAGGAUAGAGAGCAGGAAGGAGGUCUGAAGGAGGCACAUGGAGCAGAGAGACAGGUGAAGAGACCCAUGGGGAGGUUAA
Long non-coding RNA from Talpa occidentalis (Iberian mole), 1866 nucleotides. RefSeq lists it as uncharacterized. The record is from RefSeq and is a predicted model, not a curated record. Lineage: Eukaryota; Metazoa; Chordata; Mammalia; Eulipotyphla; Talpidae. The transcript has 3 exons.